UGUGUGUAUGGGGAGGGGGGAAACAGAGAGAAAGGCCCAGAGCGUCUCUUUCAGCAAGAAUGUUGCCGAUGAGACUGGCCAUGGGUUACACGCUGUCAGCAUUUGCAAAGGAGCUGCCUGCCUGGAUUAUCUUCACUGGGAUCUUCCUGCCAGUGGUUUUGCUCCUAUUGUUGCUCAUUGCCUACUUCAGGAUCAAGCUGACAGAGGUUAACGAGGAAUUGGCCAUGGCCGAUGAUCCCACAAAUGCCAUCCUGAACUUCCACAUCCAGUACCAGAAACUGAGAUCUGAAAGAAAGAGAUUAAUCAAAAGGACAUAAUGACAUUUAAGGGAGGUUCGCCUCAGAAAACAGGUUCAACACGAGCAGUCAACUCAGGAGGUUUAAAAAUAACCUGCUGUAUUACAAAAGUCAUGGGGGAAACAAAAUGGUGGGAAGUUAGUGCAGAACAGUACAAAUGAAGCAGCUGCUGCUAUCUGAAAAGGCCUUGUAACAGUUUUGCUUUCUCUACAUGAUACUUAGUAAGCAACACUUUUCUGAACUCAUCAGCACCUGUGACUAAAUGCAACGUACUUUAUCGGUUGGCUUCGGAGACACAGCAUUUGGAAAAAAACCUCAUUGCUCACUAUUCCUUAGAUGCCUAUAUCAAGUAGAAAUAGCUAUAGGAGUGUCUUCACGUGACAGCUGAAGUCUGUGUAGGUCAAUGAAUCAGCAGCAGUCUUGUUGAAUCACAGGUGCACAAACAGCAGGCUAACACGAAUUAGGUUUUUUUUAAACCUACAUAUUGACAAAAGCAUGCUCUCUGAACUGAUGAGAAACUAUAGAAGAACUUGAAAAGUGAAAGACAAUAGUGAUGGAAGGAAAAAAAAGGAUUUCAUUUAUUUUUUCUGUUUCAUAUUUUACUAAACUCACCUCCAGUUCAUACUGUAUUAUAUUCUGUUUGAGACACAGAGCUGGUACACCUGCCACCAAACCAAAUACCAAACCAUGGAAAGAAGCAACAAAUAUCUUCUUAAAGGGUCUGAGUUAUUUUAGUUUGGAAGCACAAAGAAGAACUCUUACAAUACUUAAAUAAGGGGAUGAUUUUUUAAACUAACCGGUGUAAAUAUGUUGUGAAAUUCCCUUUCUCCAUCCUGUUUUUUCAUUAGUUGGAAACAUAUUUUAUGUUCAAUGUAAUUAUAAAUAUGGCUUCAUUGCCAUGUGUCUGAAACAGAUCACAUUACAAGAAUGUACCAGUGGCCAUUAUUAGAAGAAAGCACCUAAGAAGCCAAAUAGCAAUCAACUUUACCAUGCACAAAGUCUUCUCUGUAUUAGAAUUUAGUCUCAUUCCCAUUGCUUCAAAUUCAUGACAAAUGGCAUUGCUUUACAUUUCCACACACAGUUUACUGUACAUUGUACUGUAUUAUAACUGCAUAUGCAGAAGGGGGCUGAAUUAAGUCUGCAGGGCAACGUUCAUACUGGCAUUUCCUAACUUGUGCAUGUUUGACUUUGCAACCUUUAAUUCUUAACUUUGUAUUUCCUAAUACGGUUUCAUUUGAGAAUAACCAUAACUAACAUUAAAUAAAGGGGCUUUUUUUUGGUUUGAGAAUUUAAAUUGGGACUGAGCAAGAAUUAUAUGCAUGUAUUCAGAUCAAGCCACGAAAGUGGAAUAUUACGAGUGGCGACUACAUAUAUUGAUACAUUUUCUAAUGUCUUCUAGCCCUGAUAAAAGGAAAAAGGUUUAUCCAGCUUUCUUUCAGAACAGGCUAUUUACUUUUAUAGUCUCCGCAGAAUGUGGACUAGAUCCAUUGAAUGUCAAACAACCUUUGUGUAAUUGUAGAGAAUCCAAACUUCACGUUACUUUACAAACUCUACCAAUUUAAUAUGCAAUUUCUUCAUUCAGUCAAUAAAAUAAUUUCACUGGUCAACACAAAGAGUUAUGUUAAAGGGUUCUCAUAUUGUGUACAAUAUAAAUUGGCCCCCAGCUGCACAUCCCAUAAAUAUUCAUAAACUCAUUUCUGACAUUACCAUAUGGUUAAAUAAUGUAACUCCCUUAUGCUUGUUUAAUACACCUUCAAUAUUUUGCAUGAUGAUAUAAGUAGAGGCUGUGAAAAAAACCUGAAAUGUACAUCCCCCUCACCCCAGUAACCUCCAGUGGAUAGUGCAGAUUUUCAGUGAGAGGAGCCAGUAUUUCCAGAGGUCACGCUUAGUAUUAACAUGUAAUCAUUUAGGGCAGGACUAUUGGUUCAGUGGGAGCAGAGUUAGACCAAUGCUGAUAGAUACAAAGGGUAAGAUUUGCAAAAGCUAAGUGGGCUUUCAUUAGCUAUAGCUAGGCUUGGCAGAAUUAAUUAUCAAUAUUGUCCACCCUUAAAAAUCAAAUCGUCAACAUCGCAUGUCAAAACAUACAACGUAAAUACCUUUAAAAUCAAACUCUAGUAAAUUUUCAAGCAAAAUUUUUCUUGGCCUAGCUGUACAUUUGUCAGUUUCCAUGUGCACAUUGAAGUUGAUGUUUACUGAUAUUUACCAAUAAGAAUCUAAUCCUUCCAAGCCGAGAUCUAGCUGUUACCUUGAUGAACAAACUUAUAUCCUGUAUAAAAUUAGUGCUAAAGAAGUACACCCAUCCUUAUGAAUGCAGCAUGUUGAAAAGUCACGUCUGGCGUGUUUUGAUUAAGUCCAGACAGAGCAUCUUGAAAGGAUGAAGAAUCUAAGUUAGAAUGUGAGACAGAGGAGGCAGUGAUUGAGCUACAGAUUCCUCUGGCAACUGAAUGGGAUGGGAACUUGCCUUAGGGGACGUCUACAUUGCAAAUAGAUGCCUGCAGUUGGCCCUUUCCAUCCGACUCAGGCUCAUGGGGUUGGGUUAAGGGGCUGUUUAAUUGCUUGGGCUGGAGCUCUGAGACCAUGGGCAGAAGGUGAAGCUUCCCCUUGGGGAGUCUAGCCCCCUGCCUUGCCUCUUCUGGCAGAGGCACAGCCCCCCCAUGGCCCCAUCCAGGGCAAGGGGGGCAGAGAGCUCAGCCCUAGCCUGGGUCCAGCUCUUAGUCUCAUCCAGGAGCACAGCAGAGCGCAUUGCCCUGGCUGGAGCUCGGAGCCCCUCCCCUGUUCAGCCACUUUCACCUGUAGUCACACCCAUGGCCCCACCCCAUCCCACCCCCACUCCAUCUCUUCCUCCCAAAGCCCUGCCCCCUGCUUUUUCCUCCCCCCCUCCACUGCAGCCCCAAGACUGAAAAAGCUCUGGUGCCAUGGCAGGGAGCAAGUGCUCUUCCAGCCCUGGGGCUGUGGCAGUGGUGCUGGAACAGUUUUUGGAGUGGGGGUGCUACGAGUUCCACAUUUUGGGACAUUUUAUCAUGCAAACCUCACAAAUCUAGUGAAAAACCAUAGGUGCUUCAGAAAAGCACCUCUUCCAACUUGUUUGUACGUAAAAUCCCCGAAGACUUCCCUUAAAUGCAAACCUCUCCAUUUUGACCCAUUUUUCAGCUCACCUUGUUGCUUCUUGGCUGACAAGCCUUUCCAGUUUAUUAUGCUAAUUUCUCCUAUUCCAUCCUGGGCUGCAGUUAAUGAAAAGUCUUUUCUAUUAUUUAAUUGACAGAGUGCCUCCAUUAUCUUUGCAUGAAAGGAGAUGUUACAUAGGUUGCCAGUUUUCAGCAUAUUGUGACAAGUAAUUACAAAAACACCCAAGUGCUUUAUAUUGUUUGACAUUAAAAUAUAAGUUAACAUACCAGUUAUUGGUGACUUACAUUAUCCAGCUUGUAUUAAGUAAGGGCUGAUCCUGCCUCACUCUCCCACACCAUAUUCUCUGCCAACAAUGAGCCCAAAAAGCAGUGGAAAUGCUGUGGUCCCACUGGGACAGUAGUUGGCCAUGGAGUCCACAUGGGGAAUACUACAUCCUAGGUGCACUUCAGGGUAUUGUUUUGUUCCACCGCAUUGAGCGGAGGUUGUUGUUGGGGGGGGGGGGAAGACACCAUGGUGCAAGGAUAAGUGCCACACCCUUAUUCAUCAUAUCAAGGUCAAGCUUUUUGUCAUAUUCCAAGACCCUUCAAACCCUCCCCUCUCUACUUAUUUUGUUUUUUUAGUGUUGCCACAUUGUUGGAACUCUAGUAAUACAAAUAAUACUUAGCAGUGAUAUAAGAAUUUUCACGGACAACUUGUGGUGAAAACGUGAUGGAUGGGCUUCAAAAUUUUGGUAAGUCUUUUGCUGGUGUCAGGUAUCAGCAAUGCAAAUUUUAUCUAUAUCCAGUGGGUUUUGUUAGUGUGUGUACAGCAUAUGUUAGAUGUGCAAUAGUAACAAGAUGUGUUAAAGAUGAUAAAAUGUCCCCAAAAUGUGGAACUUGUAGCACCCCCAUUCCAAAAUUCAACAUAGCAUUAAAACUCUAUUCAAUUGUCUAGAGAGAAAAAUAAUUGCUUUAAGCAGUCCUAUGAUCCAUUUGUUACUUGUAGACCAUAAUGUAGACCAUACUCCAUGAAGUCAACAGGGCAAGGUGCUUCUUAACAUACGGAAUGGUAUAACAUGUGGCCCUUUGCCAGCAAUGGUAGAUUUCUUUACUGAACGAUGGAAAUUGGCAUUGCAACACUGAGGCCCAUUCAUUACUCUGUGUCAGCAACUCGUCAGGCCUGACAAACUCACUGCACCUAACUGUUGUCAUAAUCUGUAUCUGAAAGGUGUCAUGUAAGGUAUUGUAGGCAAACUGGUAACAUGUUGGGUCUCCAAAAAUCACUGUGUGGUGUGUGUACAGGGUAUGUACAAAGAGUAAUGGAUAUGUGCUAGAAUUAUGUUCUUAAAACGUUUGGCAAGCAAGCCAUAAGCCCAGUCUGACCUAGACAAAGGAAUGUGUAUUAGCUUGUCUGACCAGCCUGGUCAUCAGGCAGACACAAUUAAGGUACAUUUCCAUGCAAGGUUUGGGAAAAAACCCACCAUCAGGAGAGCAAGGAAGGAAAAAUGAACAUUUAAUCUACACAGGAGAUGGAGACUGCACCACAUGAAGUCUUCCUGCCUCUUGAAACAGGGUGAAUGAACUUUGGGAGAUAUAAGUAGAAACAGAAAGCCAUUUUGGUAUCUAUCACUUGAGAGAUUAAAAGGGCCAGUGUUCUUGAUAUCAUAGAAUGUGGGAUCCUUCAAAGAAGAGGGAUGAAGUCUCUAGGAACUGAGUUUAGAUGAGAAAACUGCUUAGGCAAGUAUUGUAACUUGAUAAAAUUAUGUGAUAAAUGUUUACUUUUGUUUUCGUGUAACCCUUUCUAUCUUUAUUCCUUAUACUUGGUAUCACUUAAUCCUAUGUCUUUUUGUUAAAUAAACUUGUUUUACUUUACUAUAAA
Long non-coding RNA from Mauremys mutica (yellowpond turtle), 5279 nucleotides. RefSeq lists it as uncharacterized. NCBI's taxonomy places the organism in Eukaryota, Metazoa, Chordata, Testudines, Geoemydidae. The transcript is spliced from 2 exons. The record is from RefSeq and is a predicted model, not a curated record.